GCGGCAGUGCUGGAAUCGGCAGACAGGCACGUUUGAGGUGCGUGUGCGUUAGCGUGUGGGUUCAAGUCCCAUCUGCCGCA
RNAcentral lists this transfer RNA (80 nucleotides) under Anaerotruncus sp. RNAcentral's name for it is "tRNA-Leu". It matches the Rfam family "tRNA". From Rfam's summary of the family: Transfer RNA (tRNA) molecules are approximately 80 nucleotides in length. Their secondary structure includes four short double-helical elements and three loops (D, anti-codon, and T loops). The record is from RNAcentral. Lineage: Bacteria; Bacillati; Bacillota; Clostridia; Eubacteriales; Oscillospiraceae.